Cyprinus carpio carpio is the source of this 2921-nucleotide long non-coding RNA. The record is from Ensembl. NCBI's taxonomy places the organism in Eukaryota, Metazoa, Chordata, Actinopteri, Cypriniformes, Cyprinidae.
AUGUGUGUAAGGAGAAAGCUAACUUCCUGGAGAAGGCCAGACAGAGGAACGAGAAGAACAAACUGGAUGUGGAGCGCUGUGAAGAAGAGACACUUGGACAGGAUCCAGAUGCUAGAGAAGAAGAAACCCUGGGCAACUGCUGGUAUCAAGCAUGCAUCUAAGCAGAAACACGAUCAGCUUGAACUGAGGAAUAAAGAGGUUUGUUCUGAAACCACUUACAAAACAUUUAAAAAUAGCGCUGUGUAACACUAUUAAAGACCAUAUCUUUAAUAACUCUGACUGAUUGGUGUGCUUCAAAUCCUAGACAGGACCUGAGUCUGAGGCAGACACAUGCAGCUCAUGAUCAAAGACCUGCAGAAGGAGGACGUCACGCCUCAGACCGAGACUGUUAACACAGCGCUGAAGAACAUCCAGGAAGAAAAAGCCAAACUGGAGGGUGAGAGUUUGGACCUGCGCAGAGACAAAGACGAAGCCUCUGGCCAAGUACUCCGUAAUGUUUAAGAUGACUUUAGUAGCAGAAAAAUAUACAAAUGCAAUAUUUGUUAUUUUGACUGAACUCAGGACUGCUGGUGAUGCUUAAAAGUUGUUGAUUAAAUUUGUAAUAAAUAUAUAUAUUUUUAGCGUUUCGCAAACUUAUACAUUUGUUUAUCAUUUCGUAACAGUUUAAAAUGUUUUAUUAGUUACAUAAUAUUAAUUACGUUUCAUGCAGCAGUCACUACUGACUGACUCUCUGCAGUCAUUCGUUGUGUAAUGUCUGGAUAAAGCACAACAGUCUCAUAUAAAAACAUUCUACUGCAGCGUUUUUGAGAUAUGGGACAUUAUUACACUUUAGAGGGCUAUAAAGACCCCACUUCUAAUAAGCAGAGAAAAACAAUGAUCGGUUCUUGUAGGGGAACCAUUUUACUUUUUAGGAUUUUAGAGAAAUACACCAUUAUUUUACUUCAGAGGCUUAUAGAGAGGUGUAAUCAAUUACAAAAAAAAAAAAAACCUUAAAAAGGCUGAUUCUUGUUAUCUCACAUCUUCAGUGCGUAAAUCAAAGGAAACCAUUUUACUGUAUCAUUAAGGAGCAUUCAAUUAUUUCAAUCAUAUAGAGUUAUUAAACUGUACAUUCAUGCAUUCAGAGUAAAAAACUGACCAUUUCUAAUAAGGGACCUCCCAUAAUGUGUGCACCCUUUAUUUAAAGAAAUUUUACUGUAGCAACUUGGAGUUGCAUGCAUUCAAAGUCAAUAAAAUUCUCAGGCAUUGCACAACUUCUCCAGUGUAAUACUGUUAUAUACUUAUGUUAUUAGAGAGUCUAAUAGCAACGGUAAGUCAUUCCAGAGUCUGGGCAGAGCUCAGAAAGCUCUUGUACUUUGAUCUAGGAAUAACCAACAGUCUCUGGUUGGAUGAUGCUCAGUCAGUAAUUCAGAGAGGAAUGAUGGAGCCAAACUAUUUAAAGAUUUCUAAAUGUGAAGUCAGGAGUCAUUUUGAACUAAUUGGGACAAAGCUGAAUAGCUAAAUCCCAACAUAAGGCAAGGCAAAGCAAGUUUAUUUAUAUGGCACAUUUAGUAUACAAUGGUAAUUCAAAGUGCUUUGCAUAAAAGAAAGUAAAAUAAGCAUAAAAAAUAAUAAUAAUAAUAAUCACAAAAAUAAAAUACGGAAUUUAAAAACUUUUAAAAAUUGAUUUAAAAAUAAUUUAAGACAGUGUAAUCAUUUCGGGUUGUAUAUAAUACAGUGCAAUCAGUUCUGACAUCGCACAGUGCUCAUUCAAUAAAUGCACAGCUAAACAGAUUAGUUUUUAAUUCUGGAUUUAAAAGUGGCUAAUGUUUUAGCACAUCUGAUCUCUUCUGGAAGUUGAUUCCAACUGCAGGCGGCAUAAUAACUAAAAGCGGACUCCCCUUGUUUUGUGUGAAAUAUUCAGUGAGCUUAUCUGCAAUGUAUUUAGGUCCUAGGCCAUUGAGUGAUUUAUAAACGAGUAAAAGUACUUUAAAAUCAAUCCUAAAUGUAACUGGAAGCCAGUGUAAGGACCUGAGGACUGGUGUGAUAUGCUCAGAUUUUCUGGUUCUAGUCAGAAUCCUGGCAGCAGCGUUCUGGAUGAGCUGCAGCUGUCUAAUGGUCUUCUUGUGAAGGCCGGUGAGGAGACCAGUACAGUAGUCCACCCUGCUGGUGAUAAAGACAAGAACAAGUUUCUCCAAGUCUUGACUGGAAACAAAACAUCUAAUUCUUGCAAUGUUUUUUAGAUGAUAGUAUGCUGAUUUAGUCACUGCUUUCAGAAUCAGAAUCAGAAUGAGCUUCAUUGCCAGGUAUGUUUACACAUACAAGGAAUUUGUUUUCGUGACAGAAGCUCCGCAGUGCAACAGAAUGACAGCGACAGAACAAAAAACACACAAUAAAAGAAUUUUAAAAAAUACAAAAAAUACAAAUAAGUAGGUAAGGAAUGACAAUAUACAAACUGACAAUUGUAUGGCAGAUAUAUUACAAUGAGCAGUUAUGUAUGUACAGGUAUAUUAUGUGCAAAAAAAAAAUAAUUUAAGUGUACACUAAGUAUGUAUGUUAGAUAAUAAGUGUAUGUGUCUGUAAAUAUAAAUAGUGUAAUGUGUUCCACAGUUAUUAUCAAGUGUUCAUUAGAUGCAUUGCCUGGGGGAAGAAACUGUUCCUGUGUCUGGUCGUUCUGGUGCUCAGUGCUCUGUAGCAUCGACCAGAUGGCAACAGUUCAAACAGGGAGUGUGCUGGAUGUGAGGGGUCCAGAGUGAUUUUGCCAGCCUUUUUGCUUACUCUGGAUAAGUACAGUUCUUGAAUAGAUGGGAGGGUUGUACCGAUGAUUCUCUCAGCAGUCCGGACUACCCUCUGUAGUCUUCUCAGGACAGAUUUGGUAGCUGAGCUGAACCAGACAGUUACUGAAGUGCAGAGAAUGGAUUCAAUGAUGGUGGAGUAGAACUGUU